Molecule: long non-coding RNA, 3460 nt
Organism: Acanthopagrus latus (yellowfin seabream)
Lineage: Eukaryota; Metazoa; Chordata; Actinopteri; Spariformes; Sparidae
Exons: 5
Source: RefSeq, a predicted model, not a curated record
CUUUCCCGCCCCUUGACACAAGAUGGCGCUGCUGCACUGCUCUGAAAUGUCCCACAAGAAACUGAAGGCCUACACGACUCUUUGCUACUCUGGAAAAGAGAUGAAACACUGAUUUCCUGAGAGCACUCAUGAAUUCUGGGGUCAUUGCGUUGCCUGAUGUCGUCCGAGAGCACAGAGAUUUCUGCCCACUGGGAGCCCAACUACCCCCGCAGUAUUGGAACAUGACAAGAAGUCUCUUUGGAGCACCUUGAAGCUUACACAUGGCAGGUCGUGACCUGCUUCCUGUGCUGCUGCUCUCCCCAGACCUCGGCUGGCAGAGCUGAAACGGCAGAGCCACACUGAGUCUCAUCACCAGCUUGUACUGCCUGUGCCAGCUGAAGGUGUUAUUGAGGAUACACAGAAUUCACACUAUAAUGAGCAGUGACAGGAUGUCACCCACUCUGCCACAGAUCAACCCCCAGCACCCACCUGCACCCAUCCAGCUGAGUCCGCCUGUUUGUGUGAUGUCACCGCACCGAGUUGUUGUCUCUGUAGAGCCGAUAGGCCUGUUGACGGUGUUGCAACAAGGAGGCAACACUCUGUCUCCUUGUUCCCCGCCUUGGCCUGAUAAGACUGAGUUGUCCUCUCAGUUUUACCACAGUUGUUCCAUCAUUUGGUGUUUUCCUCCCUCUGAUACCUCUGAUCUUCUUGGAAGUGAGAGCUGCCCUCUUCAAGUGGCCUUUGGGCUGUGUUUGAUCACUGUUUGAGUUAUAGUUGUCUCCGUGAGUCAUAACUCAGACGCCAGACUCGGAUGUCAACAUAACAUAUGUUGUUUUCCAGCCCCGUUACCACACAUUGUGUGUGAGUAGAGUACAGGGUGAUGUAGGAAAGAGUAAGGUUCUCGAGCUUUUUGGCUUUGGAUAAAAGAUGGGAUAAAAUAUUGCUACAGGAAAAUACUGUAAUACACCUUCUGAUCAAUGCUUUUUCCUUAAAUGCUGGUCCUAAAUAUUGAUAUUUUUAUUCACACAUACAGACUGUUUAAACAUUUCAUGUUACCAGAGUCACGUCUUCAUGACUCCUUGUGGUGUACACUUCUGUAAACUCAAUUUACACAUAUUGAAAAGUGAGGCAUAGUUGUGUCCUUUGUUUAAAGAAAUGUUCUGCUUUCUGCCAGUUUAGAGAUAUUUCAUGUUGUAAUGAUGCAUGUGCAUCCUCAGGCAUCGUCACACAUACGAUCUGAUUUAACAGUGCACUGAUUUGGUUUAGCAACAGGAUAGACUGAUGUAUAGAAUCAUUUUUCAGCCUAUUGUUUUUAAAUGGAGAGACUUUAAAUGGCCUGUUGGAUGGCAGAAGUUGGUGUUGUCCAUUCUCCAAAUGAUUGUCUUGCUAUCUGUCAAGUAUUGCAGAAUCGCGUAUUGUGAUAUCAUUGUGGUCACAGGUCGUAUAUCAUAAGUUCUUCUGUGAUUCCCGCCACUCCUUUGGAGAUCUCUAGAUUAAACAAUUUGUCACUUGGGAAAUAAGUUGCAAGCAGAUCAACCAAAGACUGAUCUAAUUGUUUCAUGUUUGUGGUCUGAAGUAUUAUAAAGUGGAAUCAGACAACCUUCCAGCCCCUAGCGUUUCCAAGUGAUAUUAUUAGUUGGCGCCGCUGGAGACAACUGGAUUGUUUUCCAUUUUCCUCAGUGUAGCAUCCAACAACACAGGACAAAUUGCAAGUUUAGUCAUUCAUGUAAUGGAGACGUAAAAGCAGAUGGAAAUGGUGCCGGGCUGCCAGCCUGACUUCAUUUCCUCAGGAGAUUUCUGCGUUUGCAGUUGCGUUUGAACUGCGCAGUGCAAGUGAGGUUUAUGGGGAACCGAUCCCAUCACCAACAGUGUCAUCAUUCUAUUGCCAUAAUAACAUCAGAAAUAAAUAAUUUGUUUCCAGCUAAACAAAGAUUGACAAAUGUCCUAUAACAGAUCUUUCACUCCGUUCUUUGACCCCUCAGAUUCAGGAUGUUUCUUCAAAGGACCAUUUCAAAAAACCUUUGUUGUGCACACUGUAGUCUUUAUGGUCGUGUAAAAUACGGUUCUCUGUUGUACUUUGGGAAAUGUAUUACAUUUUCCAAGCCAACAGCCUCGCCUUUGCAGACCUUAUUUUAUUAUACCUCUGUGUUUCUUAUACAAUAUGUGAACUGUAUAGAGCCGGCUAUGUGGAGACUGAACAGCGGGAGUUCAAGCAAGGUUCACACGUAUGGCUAACUUGUUCCAAAUGAGUGUGAGGAAUGCCUGCGUCCUCGCUCGCCUUAUUAACCAAACAUCACCUUGUCGGACUCUUACACGCCUGUUCGGAGCUCCUCCCUGUGCCACACAUAAUGAGAUGAGUAUCUCAAAUCAGCUUUCUUUAAUUAAAGUUACAACACAAACUAAGCUUUUCGCCAUUCUCCUCGUAAGAGUGCAUUUUAUACGCUCUCUCUCUAUCGUGAUAGAGUGAUUCCCUUAAGGAAGUGAUUACACAUUUGGAUAAUUCUGAGCAGAUGUGAAAAAUGGCUCAACAAGUUAACAAGGCUGUGGUGGAAGUGCAGACCAUGUCACUGUUGGAGCGGCGUGCUGCGGCACCGAGAAACUGUCUCCAGAGCCUGGAGCCUGCAGUGGAGGUAAAAUAUGAAUGGAUGGAGGAUGAAUUGUUCACUAAUUUUUGGGGGGUGCUUUAUACCCUCGGAAAAAAACUUGCUCCUUGAAAUCUUUGUGUGACAAUUUAUCAUUGUGACGACUGUUCGGCUGCAUGCAAGCAGAUUUUGCAUCCAACACAUUUCACAUUUUUGACGCCAUCAUGGGGGAGGAAAGGCAGCUUGUGAUUCAUGUAUCGGGUGCUCAUGCAGAUGCGAGAUUAUCUGUAAAUACAUCUGUUAUAUAAUCAACGCAGAACGGAACUUGCCCUCAGCAUUAAAAUGCCCACAAAUGGAAAAAAGCUUCAGGAAAAUAUUGUAAUUUGAUUCAUGAAUUUUAUUUUAUUUUUAAAGUUCUGGGGAGCGGGGAUCAUAAGACUGCAGGAGACGCUGUGUUUGACUGUGUUCUGGGGUUUUUUUGAGCAAUAAAUUAAACCUGUAUUUAAAGUCUUUCAUACAUUUCAGUCCCCCUUGAAAACAAAAACAAGCGUAUUGCUUUUUUAUUUCAUGAAAUUUGCAGCAUGAAGACAAUGCAAAAACAGAGGUCUAUCAACUCCAACAGACAUCUUUCAGAAAAAUAUAAUCUAAAUUUAUUUUGCACACCAUUCACUAGAGACAAAAGGCUGAAUUCAACACUCCACCCUCAUUUUGGCGAGAUAAAAGCACUGUUGGAAUUUAAAUACAGUAAAAAAAAAAAAAAAAAAAAAAAAAAAUGUUUACGUGCACUUAAUGCCUGUAUAUCUCGCCUUUGUUCAGCUCAGACAAAGAUAAAGCCCAAAUUGGCGAUGCCUCUCAUCAAAGGUGUUUUCUCUUUGUGCUAGCUGAAUGUUGUGUAUAGA